CCUACGGGAGGCAGCAGUGGGGAAUAUUGCACAAUGGGCGCAAGCCUGAUGCAGCGACGCCGCGUGAGGGAUGACGGCCUUCGGGUUGUAAACCUCUUUCAGUAGGGAAGAAGCGAAAGUGACGGUACCUGCAGAAGAAGCGCCGGCUAACUACGUGCCAGCAGCCGACGGUAAUACGUAGGGCGCAAGCGUUAUCCGGAAUUAUUGGGCGUAAAGAGCUCGUAGGCGGUUUGUCGCGUCUGCCGUGAAAGUCCGGGGCUCAACUCCGGAUCUGCGGUGGGUACGGGCAGACUAGAGUGAUGUAGGGGAGACUGGAAUUCCUGGUGUAGCGGUGAAAUGCGCAGAUAUCAGGAGGAACACCGAUGGCGAAGGCAGGUCUCUGGGCAUUAACUGACGCUGAGGAGCGAAAGCAUGGGGAGCGAACAGGAUUAGAUACCCUGGUAGUCCAUGCCGUAAACGUUGGGCACUAGGUGUGGGGGACAUUCCACGUUUUCCGCGCCGUAGCUAACGCAUAAGUGCCCGCCUGGGGAGUACGGCCGCAAGGCUAAAACUCAAAGAAUUGACGGCUGAGAGNGCGAGACGACGACGAGGGAGAGG
This 597-nucleotide ribosomal RNA is filed under the name uncultured bacterium. Its description in RNAcentral is "bacterial SSU rRNA". It matches the Rfam family "Bacterial small subunit ribosomal RNA", at positions 338 to 947 of the family's 1533-position model. The record is from RNAcentral.